Molecule: transfer RNA, 70 nt
Filed under: Pirenella pupiformis
Lineage: Eukaryota; Metazoa; Mollusca; Gastropoda; Potamididae
Description: tRNA-Lys
Rfam family: tRNA
About the family: Transfer RNA (tRNA) molecules are approximately 80 nucleotides in length. Their secondary structure includes four short double-helical elements and three loops (D, anti-codon, and T loops). Further hydrogen bonds mediate the characteristic L-shaped molecular structure. tRNAs have two regions of fundamental functional importance: the anti-codon, which is responsible for specific mRNA codon recognition, and the 3' end, to which the tRNAs corresponding amino acid is attached (by aminoacyl-tRNA synthetases). tRNAs cope with the degeneracy of the genetic code in two manners: having more than one tRNA (with a specific anti-codon) for a particular amino acid; and 'wobble' base-pairing, i.e. permitting non-standard base-pairing at the 3rd anti-codon position.
Source: RNAcentral
UCUCAGGUGACUGAGUUAUAAGUGUUAGACUUUUAAUCUAAAAACGGCACUACCUGUCUGCCCCUGGGAA